This 173-nucleotide ribosomal RNA is filed under the name uncultured bacterium. RNAcentral describes it as "partial 16S ribosomal RNA". The record is from RNAcentral.
AGGUCUGUGUCAUCGGGCGACCCUGACGACGCAACGCCGCGUGGGGGAUGAAGGCCUUCGGGUUGUAAACCCCUUGUCGACCGGGACGAUUGGGCGGGCCUGAUAACCAGGGGGCGGCUAGGUCCCUGCCAGCGACCCCCGUGAUAACUCAGUCCCACCGCCCGCUUAAAUAA